Molecule: non-coding RNA, 1659 nt
Organism: Monodelphis domestica (gray short-tailed opossum)
Lineage: Eukaryota; Metazoa; Chordata; Mammalia; Didelphimorphia; Didelphidae
Source: RefSeq, a predicted model, not a curated record
AAAAUAACCUAUGUGUACAAAAAUAGUCUAGCAUUUCUUUUUGUGUUAGCAAAGAACUGGAAACUGUUGAGAGUAUGCCUGUUAACUGGGGAAUGACUGAACAAAUAGUAGCAUAUGAUUGUGAUGGGAUAAUAUUGUGCUAUAAGAAAUUAUGAGCAAAAUGGUUUCAGAAAAACCUGAAAAAAACUUAUAUUAAUUGAAGCAGUGAAGUGAGCAGAACCAGGAGAGCAUUGUAGAUAACAGCAAUAUUGUAUGAUGAUCAAUUGUGAAAGACUUAGCUACCCUGAUUGACACUGAACCAAAACAAUUCCAAAUAAUAACUAAUGAAAAAUUCUAUCUACCUCCAGAGUGAUAACUGAUAAACUUUGAAUGCAGAUUGAAGGCAGAGCCAAAAUCGUGGUGUAAUAGUAGGAGCUUUCUGAAUUUCCUUCUAACUGAUCAUUACAAAGUAUCUCAAAAGGACAGAAAUAAAAAUUAGGCUAGUAAAGGGGCUCUUACACUGGAUACAGAGUAAAAGGUAGGCAGUGAGAAGGGAAUCCCACAGUAUAAGGGGGAGAAAUGGCACUAAUCAAGCAAAAGCUGGCCACUCAUCCCUCAUACAACCUACUGUUCCAGUUAAAGUGAGGGCCAGGCCAAUCUCCAAAUUCUCAGGGUCUAGCUGAAAGCACCACAGAUGGAAUGUGCCAGGCUUUGGCAGUGAGACUUAAGGCUAAAAAACAGAGUUUGGGCAGAAAUGCUGCUGGCCACAGCCAAAGUAACAGGGGGUAGGAAGAUAAUCUCAGGACAAAAAUGCUUUAAAGUGUGCUAAACAACACAACAUCUACUCUCAUUUGGAUUUCUAACAGGGAAAGGAAGAUAGUACCAAGUCAAAGCCCUGAGAGACAGAAGCUAAGAAAGUGGUGACCACCAACAUGCAGGAAUCUCAGUCCUCUAGUGGUAAAAAGAAUAAGCAACAACAACACCAAAAAAAAAAAACCAAACAAACAAAAAGAACAACAACAAUAACAACAAAAAUUAUUGGAAUUACUGGAAAAUUUCUAUAGAGAAAAAGAGAAAAAUAUAGAAGCAACAGCAGAAAGUGAGCAAACUUUCAAAAAAAUGAAGAUUGGUCACAAGCUCUGGGGGAACUAAAAAAAGAGUUCAAGAACCAAAUCAAAUCCUUGGUGGUAAUAGGAAAAGGUGAAAUGAAGAUUCAGAAGGAAGCUUGUUGAAGACAGAAGAAGCUUGUUGAAGGGAAGUUAUUAGAAGAACAGAGAACAUCAUGGAAGAUGAAAAGGGAGAUAAAUUUAUGUGCAUCUAGAAGAAAACUACUAAGAUAUAAAGGGGUCUGGAACACCUCUGUCCUAUGUGAACUGAUUUAUGGAUUCUAGAGUGUUAAUCUGAAGGAAAAAAGACAUAAGGAGGAUAUAAUAGAAGUGGUCAACAAUGUGAAGAGCUGACACAUGAAAGAAUAAGACUUGUUAUUUAUGUGAACUCAGUAUUCCAUUUACCACCUUUGCUUCUUUGCUCAAGCUGUCCCUCAUUUCUAGAAUGUACUCUAUCCUCAUCUCUAAAUCUUAACUUUCAUCAAGGUGCAGUUCAGGUGCCAGUUCCUAAUUGGAAGCCAUUCCUGAUCUAUCUAAUCAUUAAUGUUUGAUCUUCAAGAUUAUGUGUGUGUGU